Small nucleolar RNA from Grammomys surdaster, 132 nucleotides. RefSeq annotates it as small nucleolar RNA SNORA17. NCBI's taxonomy places the organism in Eukaryota, Metazoa, Chordata, Mammalia, Rodentia, Muridae. The record is from RefSeq and is a predicted model, not a curated record. The transcript has a single exon.
CCUGCCCCUAGAAGUGCUGAAGGCUUGGCUGCUGUGUCACUUGGAUGUCAGUAGGUGGCAGAGAAAAGAGAAGCCAUGUCCAUGCUCAGUGUUCUGACCUAUGGACUUCUGAAGGAUUAGAAGCCUAAAAAA